UGGUAGAGCUGCCUUUCCUGUCCUUUUGAUUCUUCUUUUAUCGUUAUCUUGACCUGUGACCCAUCUUCAUCGUCUCCUGGUUUUUUCCUAAAUUGUUUCAAGUUAUUGACUAAUAAUAACACUCCCACCACUUCAAGAUAAUUGCCUCUGCAGUCUCACAGCCCUGAUCAUUUCAAGUUUUGAAUAGGUUUCGAGUAAGACUUUCAGAGCUGGACUCUCCAACCUCCAUAUGAAUCCAGCUUGGAUUUGCUUAGAUAACAAGCUGGUCUUGGGGCUGGAAAGGUGGCUCAGCUGUUAAGAGUACCUCCUGUUGUUCCAGAGAACAGGAGUUAGGGUCCCUCUCCCCAUAUCCUGUAGUUUAUAACUGCAAGUCACUCUAGCUCCAGGGGAUCUGACACCUUUCUUCUGAUCUCAGAGGGUACCCACAUACAUGUGUUAUAAAUUCACAUACACAAACAGACACAUACAUACAUGUGUGCUUACAUAUAGACAUGUACACACACACAUGCACACAUCCCAUACACAUGCAUACACAUACAUACACACACAUGCAUAUACAUGCACAAACACAUAUGUAUACACACAAACAUAGAAAUAAAAAAAGUUUAAAAAAUCUGGUCUUGAACUUACUAAAAAAAAAAAUAAA
Molecule: long non-coding RNA, 646 nt
Filed under: Rattus norvegicus (Norway rat)
Lineage: Eukaryota; Metazoa; Chordata; Mammalia; Rodentia; Muridae
Description: long non-coding RNA NONRATT011993
Source: RNAcentral